UCGGCUUUGCCGUUAUUGGAUGAUUCAUAAUAAACGAACGGAGCGCAUGACUUGUGUCGGCGCUGUUUCAUUCAAGUUUCUGACCUAUCAGGUUCCGACGGUAGGGUAUUGGUCUACCGUGCCAUUGACGGGUAACGGAGAAUUAGGGUUCGAUUCCGGAGAGGGAGCCUUAAAAACGGCUACCACAUCUAAGGAAGGCAGCAGGCGCGCAAAUUACCCAAUCCCGACACGGGGAGGUAGUGACAAGAAAUAACACAAAGAGUGCUUUCUGCAUUUCUCUUUGGAAUGAGUAGAAUUUAAAUCUCUUUUCGAAUUCAAUUGGAGGGCAAGUCUGGUGCCAGCAGCCGCGGUAAUUCCAGCUCCAAUAGCGUGUAUUAAAGUUGUUGCGGUUAAAAAGCUCGUAGUUGGAUUUCUGUCGAGGAGCGCCGGUCCACACUUUGUGUGAGUAUCUGGUUGCGCCUUGGCAUCCUCAUGGGGAACGUUUCUGCGCUUGAUUGCGUGGAGCGGUAUUCAUGACUUUUACUUUGAGGAAAUUAGAGUGUUCACGGCAGGCAAACGCCUUGAAUACAUUAGCAUGGAAUAAUAAUAUAGGACUUUAGCCCUAUUUUGUUGGUUUCUAGAGCUAGAGUAAUGA
This 634-nucleotide ribosomal RNA is filed under the name uncultured marine Syndiniales. RNAcentral's name for it is "bacterial SSU rRNA". It matches the Rfam family "Eukaryotic small subunit ribosomal RNA", at positions 227 to 868 of the family's 1831-position model. The record is from RNAcentral. Lineage: Eukaryota; Dinophyceae; Syndiniales.